RNAcentral lists this ribosomal RNA (546 nucleotides) under Pasteurella multocida. Its description in RNAcentral is "bacterial SSU rRNA". It matches the Rfam family "Bacterial small subunit ribosomal RNA", at positions 35 to 563 of the family's 1533-position model. The record is from RNAcentral. Lineage: Bacteria; Pseudomonadati; Pseudomonadota; Gammaproteobacteria; Pasteurellales; Pasteurellaceae.
GCUGGCGGCGUGCCUAAUACAUGCAAGUCGAGCGAACAGACGAGGAGCUUGCUCCUCUGACGUUAGCGGCGGACGGGUGAGUAACACGUGGAUAACCUACCUAUAAGACUGGGAUAACUUCGGGAAACCGGAGCUAAUACCGGAUAACAUGUUGAACCGCAUGGUUCAACAGUGAAAGACGGUCUUGCUGUCACUUAUAGAUGGAUCCGCGCCGCAUUAGCUAGUUGGUAAGGUAACGGCUUACCAAGGCAACGAUGCGUAGCCGACCUGAGAGGGUGAUCGGCCACACUGGAACUGAGACACGGUCCAGACUCCUACGGGAGGCAGCAGUAGGGAAUCUUCCGCAAUGGGCGAAAGCCUGACGGAGCAACGCCGCGUGAGUGAAGAAGGUCUUCGGAUCGUAAAACUCUGUUAUUAGGGAAGAACAAAUGUGUAAGUAACUAUGCACGUCUUGACGGUACCUAAUCAGAAAGCCACGGCUAACUACGUGCCAGCAGCCGCGGUAAUACGUAGGUGGCAAGCGUUAUCCGGAAUUAUUGGGCGUAA